Molecule: ribosomal RNA, 802 nt
Filed under: uncultured bacterium
Lineage: Bacteria
Description: bacterial SSU rRNA
Rfam family: Bacterial small subunit ribosomal RNA
Source: RNAcentral
CGGCAAACGGGUGCGGAACACGUACACAACCUUCCUUUUAGUGGGGAAUAGCCCAGAGAAAUUUGGAUUAAUACCCCGUAACAUGACCGAGUGGCAUCACUUGGUUAUUAUAGCUUCGGCGCUAAAUGAUGGGUGUGCGUAUGAUUAGAUAGUUGGCGAGGUAACGGCUCACCAAGUCUACGAUCAUUAGCUGAUGUGAGAGCAUGAUCAGCCACACGGGCACUGAGACACGGGCCCGACUCCUACGGGAGGCAGCAGUAAGGAAUAUUGGUCAAUGGACGCAAGUCUGAACCAGCUAUGCCGCGUGAAGGAUUAAGGUCCUCUGGAUUGUAAACUUCUUUUAUCUGGGACGAAAAAAGGUCUUUCUAGACCCCUUGACGGUACCAGAUGAAUAAGCACCGGCUAACUCCGUGCCAGCAGCCGCGGUAAUACGGAGGGUGCAAGCGUUAUCCGGAUUCACUGGGUUUAAAGGGUGCGUAGGCGGGUAGGUAAGUCAGUGGUGAAAUCCUGGAGCUCAACUCCAGAACUGCCAUUGAUACUAUCUAUCUUGAAUAUUGUGGAAGUAAGCGGAAUAUGUCAUGUAGCGGUGAAAUGCUUAGAUAUGACAUAGAACACCCAUUGCGAAGGCAGCUUACUACGCAUAUAUUGACGCUGAGGCACGAAAGCGUGGGGAUCAAACAGGAUUAGAUACCCUGGUAGUCCACGCCCUAAACGAUGGAUACUCGGCAUACGCGAUACACUGUGUGUGUCUGAGCGAAAGCAUUAAGUAUCCCACCUGGGAAGUACGUUCGCAAGAAUGAAA